This 253-nucleotide ribosomal RNA is filed under the name uncultured bacterium. Its description in RNAcentral is "partial 16S ribosomal RNA". It matches the Rfam family "Bacterial small subunit ribosomal RNA", at positions 524 to 776 of the family's 1533-position model. The record is from RNAcentral.
GACGGAGGAUGCAAGCGUUAUCCGGAAUGAUUGGGCGUAAAGCGUCCGCAGGUGGCAGUUCAAGUCUGCUGUCAAAGACCGGGGCUUAACUUCGGAAAGGCAGUGGAAACUGAACAGCUAGAGUAUGGUAGGGGCAGAGGGAAUUCCCGGUGUAGCGGUGAAAUGCGUAGAGAUCAGGAAGAACAUCGGUGGCGAAGGCGCUCUGCUGGACCAUAACUGACACUCAGGGACGAAAGCUAGGGGAGCGAAUGGG